This 834-nucleotide ribosomal RNA is filed under the name uncultured Flavobacterium sp. RNAcentral describes it as "bacterial SSU rRNA". It matches the Rfam family "Bacterial small subunit ribosomal RNA", at positions 75 to 914 of the family's 1533-position model. The record is from RNAcentral. Lineage: Bacteria; Pseudomonadati; Bacteroidota; Flavobacteriia; Flavobacteriales; Flavobacteriaceae.
GGUUUUCGGACCUAGAGACCGGCGCACGGGUGCGUGACGCGUAUGCAAUCUACCUUUUACAGAGGGAUAGCCCAGAGUAAUUUGGAUUAAUACCUCAUAGUAUUAUUGAAUGGCAUCAUUUAAUAAUUAAAGUUCCAACGGUAAAAGAUGAGCAUGCGUCCCAUUAGCUAGAUGGUAAGGUAAUGGCUUACCAUGGCAACGAUGGGUAGGGGUCCUGAGAGGGAGAUCCCCCACACUGGUACUGAGACACGGACCAGACUCCUACGGGAGGCAGCAGUGAGGAAUAUUGGUCAAUGGGCGCAAGCCUGAACCAGCCAUGCCGCGUGCAGGAUGACGGUCCUAUGGAUUGUAAACUGCUUUUGUACAGGAAGAAACAGUUCUACGUGUAGAACCUUGACGGUACUGUAAGAAUAAGGAUCGGCUAACUCCGUGCCAGCAGCCGCGGUAAUACGGAGGAUCCAAGCGUUAUCCGGAAUCAUUGGGUUUAAAGGGUCCGUAGGCGGUUUUGUAAGUCAGUGGUGAAAGCCCAUCGCUCAACGGUGGAACGGCCAUUGAUACUGCAAGACUUGAAUUACUAGGAAGUAACUAGAAUAUGUAGUGUAGCGGUGAAAUGCUUAGAUAUUACAUGGAAUACCAAUUGCGAAGGCAGGUUACUACUAGUGGAUUGACGCUGAUGGACGAAAGCGUGGGGAGCGAACAGGAUUAGAUACCCUGGUAGUCCACGCCGUAAACGAUGGAUACUAGCUGUUCGGAGCAAUCUGAGUGGCUAAGCGAAAGUGAUAAGUAUCCCACCUGGGGAGUACGUUCGCAAGAAUGAAACUCAAAGGAAUUGAC